This 516-nucleotide ribosomal RNA is filed under the name Alternaria alternata. Its description in RNAcentral is "eukaryotic LSU rRNA". The stretch from base 154 to 307 matches the Rfam family "5.8S ribosomal RNA". Lineage: Eukaryota; Fungi; Ascomycota; Dothideomycetes; Pleosporales; Pleosporaceae. The record is from RNAcentral.
AGGCGGGCUGGACCUCUCGGGGUUACAGCCUUGCUGAAUUAUUCACCCUUGUCUUUUGCGUACUUCUUGUUUCCUUGGUGGGUUCGCCCACCACUAGGACAAACAUAAACCUUUUGUAAUUGCAAUCAGCGUCAGUAACAAAUUAAUAAUUACAACUUUCAACAACGGAUCUCUUGGUUCUGGCAUCGAUGAAGAACGCAGCGAAAUGCGAUAAGUAGUGUGAAUUGCAGAAUUCAGUGAAUCAUCGAAUCUUUGAACGCACAUUGCGCCCUUUGGUAUUCCAAAGGGCAUGCCUGUUCGAGCGUCAUUUGUACCCUCAAGCUUUGCUUGGUGUUGGGCGUCUUGUCUCUAGCUUUGCUGGAGACUCGCCUUAAAGUAAUUGGCAGCCGGCCUACUGGUUUCGGAGCGCAGCACAAGUCGCACUCUCUAUCAGCAAAGGUCUAGCAUCCAUUAAGCCUUUUUUCAACUUUUGACCUCGGAUCAGGUAGGGAUACCCGCUGAACUUAAGCAUAUCAA